This 497-nucleotide ribosomal RNA is filed under the name uncultured bacterium. RNAcentral describes it as "partial 16S ribosomal RNA". It matches the Rfam family "Bacterial small subunit ribosomal RNA", at positions 28 to 507 of the family's 1533-position model. The record is from RNAcentral.
GAUGAACGCUGGCGGCGUGCCUAACACAUGCAAGUCGAGCGAACGCACCAGAAGUUUUCUCCUCUGAUGUUAGCGGCGGUCGGGUGAGUAACACGUGGAUAACCUACCUCUAAGACUGGGAUAACUUCGGGAAACCGGUGCUAAUACCGGAUAAUAUUUUGCACCGCAUUGUUCAAACGUGAAAUACGCUCUUGCUGUCACUUAUAGAUGAAUCCGCGCUGCAUUAGCUAGUUGGUAAGGUAACGGCUUACCAAGGCGACGAUGCAUAGCCGACCUGAGAGGAUGAUCGGCCACACUGGAACUGAGACACGGUCCAGACUCCUACGGGAGGCAGCAGUAGGGAAUCUUCCGCAAUGGGCGAGAGCCUGACGGAGCAAAGCCGCGUGAGUGAUGAAGGUCUUCGGAUCGUAAAGCUCUGUUGUUAGGGAAGAACAUAUGUGUAAGUAACUGUGCACAUCUUGACGGUACCUAAUCAAAAAGCCACGGCUAACUACGUG